Molecule: ribosomal RNA, 253 nt
Filed under: uncultured bacterium
Lineage: Bacteria
Description: partial 16S ribosomal RNA
Rfam family: Bacterial small subunit ribosomal RNA
Source: RNAcentral
UACAGAGGGGGCAAGCGUUGUUCGGAAUUACUGGGCGUAAAGGGCGCGUAGGCGGCCUUCUAAGUCGAACGUGAAAUCCCUGGGCUCAACCCAGGAACUGCGUCCGAUACUGGAAGGCUUGAAUCCGGGAGAGGGAUGCGGAAUUCCAGGUGUAGCGGUGAAAUGCGUAGAUAUCUGGAGGAACACCGGAGGCGAAGGCGGCUUGCUGGGCUCGGUCUGACGCUGAGGCGCGAAAGCGUGGGGAGCGAACAGG